UACGGGGGGGAGCAAGCGUUGUUCGGAUUUACUGGGCGUAAAGGGCGCGUAGGCGGUCGUGACAAGUCACUUGUGAAAUCUCCGGGCUUAACUCGGAACGGUCAAGUGAUACUGUCGGACUAGAGUACAGAAGGGGCAACUGGAAUUCUCGGUGUAGCGGUGAAAUGCGUAGAUAUCGGGAAGAACACCCGUGGCGAAGGCGGUCUCUGGAGGUACGUCGACGCUGAGACGCGAAAGCGUGGGGAGCGAACAGG
RNAcentral lists this ribosomal RNA (254 nucleotides) under uncultured bacterium. Its description in RNAcentral is "partial 16S ribosomal RNA". It matches the Rfam family "Bacterial small subunit ribosomal RNA", at positions 524 to 776 of the family's 1533-position model. The record is from RNAcentral.